This 6294-nucleotide long non-coding RNA is filed under the name Sus scrofa (pig). Its description in RNAcentral is "lncRNA (ENSSSCG00035043803.1)". Lineage: Eukaryota; Metazoa; Chordata; Mammalia; Artiodactyla; Suidae. The record is from RNAcentral.
CCGAGCCGCAUCUGCAACCUACAUCACAGCUCAUGGCAAUGCCAGCCAGAUCCUUAACCCACCGAGGGAGGCCAGGGAUCCAAGCCGCAUCCUCUUGGAUGCUAGCCGGGUUCUUAACUCCCUGAGCCAUGGCAGGAACUCCGCUCCGUCAUCUUAUUCCACUAGACACGCCUGCCUAUUAUUCCAAAGAGCGACACUGUCUUCCAGGGUGGCUAACUCUACAAAUACUGAGAAGCUCAUCCAGAACAAAGGCAGCCCCUGCCUCUCACAGCAGGAAGACAUGUGAAGGGCACGUGGAGAUGAUACAUUACCUGUUUCAUAGUCUAUUUGCUGACAGUAAUAAAUGAUAAGCAAACACAGGUGGUAGCAAAAAAUAGCCCGGCCCUUGAACCUUUCUGCAGCCCUUCAAGCCUCCAUAGGCAGCUGAUAAACAGGAAAACUUUUUCUGAGCUGGGAUGGAUAGUGUUUACGAUAAGAUGAAAAGUAAUCUGAGGACUCUAUUCUUGGGAGAAUGUUCAUGGAACAUGAUUAUAAGAUACAGACGACGAGCUAAAUUAAAACAUCAGCUUUUACAUGCGAUGACAUCAGCGUCCCUUUCAUGCCCCCACUGGACAGUUCUUUCUCGUUAAACCAGAGAAUGAAAACUAUUCUAAAUGACAGUUUUCCAGCUAAAAACUACUCUGAUUUCUCUUUCCCAUGUUGACUAUUUCGAAAGCAUCUCAUUGAGAAACUGCCUUAACUGACUUCACAGCAGGAGAAACUCUCAUUGAGUUUGAGUGAAACAACCUUGGGUUAGCCAUAAUUAAUCUCAUAUUUGAUGUGUUCCUUUUAUUUUCUAUGAGCAAGCAACAAAAGAAGCUCUAAUUGACUAAAAUUCUUUUUUUUUUUGUCCUUUUAGGGCCACACCCACGGCAUAUGGAGGUUCCCAGGUUAGGGGUCCAAUCAGAGCUGUUGCUGCCAGCCUAUGCCAGAGCCACAGCAAUGUCAGAUCCAAGCUGUGUCUUCGACCUACACCACAGUUCACAGCAAUGCUGGAUGCUGAGGGAGGACAGGGAUUGAACCCACAACCUCAUGGUUCCUAGUCAGAUUUGUUUCCACUGCGCCACGACGGGAAUGCCUCCCGAAUGACUAAAAUUCUAAAUUCAGUGCUGAUAGAAAAUUUUCAUUAGCAGAAAGGUGGCCCAGCUAUAAUUCUGUGAAAGCUGCCGGCAUUACCCCAACUCUUAGUAUCAAAUGGCAAGAUUAGGGGAUGACUCUUUAGAGCUGAUGGUACAUUAAAUGGCUAUGAUAAAAGAAGAAGAAAAAAAACUAGUCUCCUAGUUGGAUUGUAUUCCAGAAACUGCCCUUACAGGCAUAUUGUGGUUCUUCUAGUGUUAGUUAAACUUCUAAUAAAUGUAUUUUUAAUCAGUUCAAAAAACAACAUUUUAAAGUUCUGCUCAUUGCCUUAGAUGUUCUAAAAUGUGGGGGGGAAACGGCAUAUUGAAAAGGGGCAUAUUUUAAGUGAAAGGCGGGAGAAAACAGGUAUAUGGCAGAUGCCUUUUUGUCUCCCUCCAUUAUCCAUGUCGAUAAAUCUGCAGGAGCGCACAGUCCAGACCUCAGUACGUGGCGACCACGGAGAAUGGAACGAACAGCUUCUUCUGGUGAAAGGAAUAAGCACACUCACUGCUCCCCCUGCAAUCCUGGAAGUAGAGGGGAGCAGAGACGGAACGCCAGGGGAGAAUAACCCAAUAGCACAACCAGGGUCACCAGCCAGUGUCACUGAGUCUCAACUGGAAACAACCAAGGUGCCCAAGUGAAGCAGCUGAAAAACGGAUGCAGCGGGAGAGCAGCAGUUUCCUGGGGCACAGCACAAGAGAGCAUUCGGUGACAUUCCCGAUCACGUGAAAACCACGAGGCAAAAUCAUACAGCAAAAAUCACGAAGCUCCAGGAUCAACGUGUGCAUAAAGCAAAGGGUGUUUUGAGCCCAGAGGUAAGUGAGCUCUUCUCUUCAUCUGCAGGCAGUCUCCUCGCUUCACAGCUUUUAGCUGAAAGCUGUGUGUGUACAUUAGGGACUUGAUGACUUGCCCUGUGUUUUAGAUGGUUUCAGAACAACAGCAGAUAUGUUUUCUCAUUAUCUAUGUGCCAGGCUCUCUUCUCAGCAUUCUAAGUAUAAUGUCUCAUUUAUGCCCAUGAUAACCCUGGGAAGUAAAUACCAUUACUGUCAUCCUUGAAUUUACAGAGGAAGAAAUUGAGACGUGGGGAUAGUUAGUAAAUUUCCCCAAAUCAUCCUACCCAUGAGCGAUAGGACUAGUUUCAAACCCAGCCUAUCAAGCUGCAAAGUCUAGGGUUUAAAUAAAAGUGACUUACUUCACUUAGUAUGAGAAUCUCUAGUUGAAUCCAUGUUGCUGCAAAUGGCAUCAUUUCAUUCUCGUUAUGGCUGACUAUUCCAUUCAGAAAGAAAAAGACAAAAUAUGAUAUCACUUAGAUGUGGAAUUGAAAAUAUGGCACAAAUGAACCUAUCUAAAAAACAGUCCCACAGACAUAGAGAACAGACUUGCUGAGAGAGAGGGGACAGAGCAGGAUGGACUGGAGUUUGGGGUUAGUAGAUGCAAACUCUGACAUGUAGAAUGGAUAAGCAAUGAGGCCCUACUAUACAGCACAGGAAACUACAUCCAGUCCCGAGAUAGACCAUGAUGGAAGAUAAUAUAAGAAAGGGAAUGUUCAUUGCAGCUCUAUACACAAUAGCCAAGACAUGGAAACAACCCAAAUGUCCAUAGACAGAUGAUUGGAUUAGGAAGAUGUGGUAUAUAUACACAAUGGAAUACUACUCAGUCAUAAAAAAAGAACAAAAUAAGGCCAUUUGUAGCAACAUGGAUGGAACUACAGACUCUCAUAUUGAGUGAAAUGUCAGAAAGAAAAAUAGCAUAUGAUAUCACUUAUGUCUAGAAUCUAAUAUACAGCACAAAUGAACCUUUCCACAGAAAAGAAAAUCAUGGACUUGGAGAAGAGACUCGUGGUUGCCAAGGGGGAGCGGGAGGGAAUGGGGUGGAUUGCGAGUUGGGGGUGAAUAGAUGCAGACUGUUGCCUUUGGAAUGGAUUAGCAGUGACAGCCUGCUGUGUAGCACUGGGAACUAUGUCUAGUCCCUUAUGAUGGAGCAUGAUAAUGUGAGAAAAAAGAAUGUAUACAUGUAUAUGUAACUAGAUCACCAUGCUGUACAGUAGGAAAAAAAAUAAUGUAUUGGAAAAAUAAAAUUAAAAAAAAAGAAAGGGAAUGUAUAUAUACGGAUAACCGAAUCACUUUGCUGUACAGCAAAGUGACACAACAUUGUAAAUCAACUAUACGUUAAUUUUUUUUCAUCAAUCAAGCAAAGUCUUUAUUACAGGAAAGCAAACAGCCCCCAGGACUGCUGGGAGGGGGAAGAAGAGCCUUCACUCUCUAUAUGUUAGAAAAAGGAAGAAAAAAAAAUGAUUAGCAUGUGCACAUGGACAUGAUAGUAUACAGAUAUAAAUAUUCAGAUGUAUACCUGGAUGUGAAUUUAUUUCACCCCAUAUCUUCCCAAAUAUAAAGAGGGAGCCAGUUUUUCUUUAAAAGUAACAGAUGGAAUUCACUUGCGCUGGCAAAUUCAGGCUUUGCAAGGACUUCAUCAUGAUGCAAAAGCUUUUUAAAAAAUUUUUUUCUUCCAGUAUGUAAAUACCAAGUAUUUUUCUUUACAAACUUUUUAAUACACCAAGGAUGUACUGCUGUUCCCAAGACGCCCUCAUUUGUACACACAUAUAUCCUGCACCUGGCACACUAGAAUAAUGUCAACUGUGUUUACUUCAAUAAUUACCUUCAAACAAACACAUGUAGUGAUUUUAUAUGAAUGUCAGCUCCCACAUGGCACUUUUCCUGUCUAGCUAAGGCCUUGAGGAAAUAUAUUAAUGGAUCAAAACCAGGGAAAACACCAAUCCAGCCCUUGAAACAUUAAGGGAACUGGAAUUUCUGUGAUUUCCCCAGAGGUAUUAUUACAUUCUUCUUCUCAAAUAACACUCUCCAUAAAGACACGUAAAUCAGACAAGAGAACAGUCAUUUGAAAUGACAAUAGGUUACAUUCCUCAAAAACCAGUAGGAGGUUAUUAUUAAGGUGGAAAUAAAGUAAUUUUUUAUGUAGAUCAAAGAUACAAAUUUUAGCAUCUGUAUCUUUACAAAAUGCGGGUAUCUAGGUCCUUGCUCAGAAAUUCUGAUGUAUUGAGUUCUGGGCAUGGCUGGGGCACCAUGGAUGUUUUUACCCCUCUGGACAUUUCCUCUGUCCAGUUCAGGUUGAUAACUAUUGCUUUUAGAGGAACAGUUAUACAGACAUAUAACCCUAUGCCCUAUGGGGUCAUGAGCUUUUGUACUUAGGGUCAGCGUUUGUGUAGACAGCUGGCUGAACUGGACUUCACACCAGGAUCAUGACGGAGGAGUGACUUAUAUUUUGAGAUUCUUAUUCACCUAGUCCCCUUUAGGUAAGAGUUUGCCUGAUGGACGCUCUCUUGCCUUUAUUACAAAUAUAAGCAUAUACAGUCCAGCCAAGUAACCAUUAACUCAUAUUAAUACCACUCUGUGACUCCCCAGAUGUUACAGAUUUGGGGCUACCCCUGUGAUCGCUACCACCACCUCCCCUUUCUUCACAGUGGGUAUGUUGGCACCCACCCAGCAGAGGGCCAAUUUGCCAGUACUCAGGCCACUUGAUGACCCCGUGACUUUGCAUAAACCGAUCCCUGUGGACGGUUUAUCACUAGGUUCUCAAAGUGAUUUUGAUUUACCAGUUGACACUGACCAGCGUUUAUUUUUAUUAUUAUUCUAAACUGCAUUUGCAUUCGCCAGGAUGGAUGCUCAUACCCAAGCACAGAUGGAGAGGAUCGGAUGAGAUCGAUUCUAGCAAACCUUAACUGCACAGCUGGACCGUACAUCCUCCUCUGACCUGUGCUGAACGAGAGAGGAGUGAUGGUCUGGGUGGCGCCCUCCUCUGCGGUGGUACCUAAGUGACUGACGUCACUUCCACCUACAAUCUCAUGGCCUAAAUGCGUCAAAGAGCCCCAGCUCACUGCAAGUGGGCCAGGAAGCAUGAAAGACUCGCGCUGCCAAGACAACAGAGGAUCGCUGCAUUGAUUAGUUAGUGAUGCCUUCACCAAACCAGAGGAGGGAUUCUGCAUGUUGCCUGACCCAUCAUUAGAAAGCUACAGAGGAACUGUUUUACCUGGAGCAAUUCGUACAAUAAUUUCAUCUCCAGCUUUCAAUAAUUCCAAACACAGAAACAGGCAUAUUUUUUGAAAAAAAAUAUAUAAUACUACACAUUUUGCUGAUUAUGAAAUGACCUAAACCUAGCAUCUGAUAACAGUGGAGGAGCCUGGCAGUAUCAUUAUCAGUCUCUCAAAUGUUGUUACCCAACAGCUUAAAGGACAGGCUCUACUGUGAGCAAUGAGCGUUUACCAGGAUACGAUGAUGACCCACUGAUCUGAUUAUUCUCAUGUCAAUCUCUGCUACAAGGACCUCCCGAAAUUCAUUCAAGAGCCUUUCGAUACUCAUUUAUUACUUUGCUUACUGCUUGGCCUAUUUUCACAGCAAAAAAUGGACCCUAAAAAUAGUAUUUUACUCUCUGAACUAUAUCUUUAAAGUUAGAAACCUAUGUGUAGGAAUGCCUGGUUCAUUAAACAUAAUUUUAUUAUACAUAAUUUUUAGAUACUUAAGACCAAUGAAAAUUUUGUCAGCUUUGAGCUUAAUAAGUCUCAGUAUUUUAAAACCACCUCAGUUCACGAACAGAAUAAAGAGUUAUGUAUAUGCAUAUGUAUCAACAGUUGUGAGAAAUAUGUUCACAAAGUUUUCCUGCAUAGUUACCUAGAUUAGCCAUCAAGGCUUCAAGUAUCGAACAGUUUUUUUGAUUUACUGCUAUACAUGAAAUGCCAACAUGCAAUUUGUAAGGUAUAUUAGAUCAUUAUUAAUUGAAACAUUUAAUUGAUUUUAAUAUAAAAUGACCUGUGGCUAGUGGACAUCAAGGACUCCAUAAAUUUUAAAUAACCUGGUGCCAUACUUUAUGGAAAAUUCAUGGGUUGAUUAGUUUCCAUACAAAACAGAUUUCAGAUGAGGUCAUGAAAAGGAAAGAAAUUUUUCUUUAAUGCAUAAACUCAUUAGAACAUGGAAAGAAAAAGACUAUUUUUCCAAAGUAUCAAUGUCCUAAUAUACAUUUUCAAUGCAGGGUAUUUAGCCUACUCAUAGCUAGAAAUAUAAUUUUAUUUUUAAACAGUUCUUGACUGCAUUUUCCCUCAAGAGUACAAGAAUUCCCCUUUAGAGUUCC